RNAcentral lists this ribosomal RNA (253 nucleotides) under uncultured bacterium. RNAcentral's name for it is "partial 16S ribosomal RNA". It matches the Rfam family "Bacterial small subunit ribosomal RNA", at positions 524 to 776 of the family's 1533-position model. The record is from RNAcentral.
UACAGAGGGUGCGAGCGUUGUCCGGAAUCACUGGGCGUAAAGGGCGCGUAGGUGGCGUCGCAAGUCCGUGGUGAAAGCUCGUCGCUCAACGGCGAGUCGGCCACGGAUACUGCGAGGCUCGAGCACUGUAGAGGCAGAUGGAAUUCCGGGUGUAGCGGUGGAAUGCGUAGAGAUCCGGAAGAACACCGGUGGCGAAGGCGGUCUGCUGGGCAGUAGCUGACACUGAGGCGCGACAGCGUGGGGAGCAAACAGG